Molecule: transfer RNA, 75 nt
Filed under: Candidatus Altimarinota bacterium
Lineage: Bacteria; Candidatus Altimarinota
Description: tRNA-Met
Rfam family: tRNA
About the family: Transfer RNA (tRNA) molecules are approximately 80 nucleotides in length. Their secondary structure includes four short double-helical elements and three loops (D, anti-codon, and T loops).
Source: RNAcentral
CGCGCAGUAGAGCAGUGGCAGCUCGGUAGUCUCAUAAUCUACAGGCCCUAGGUUCGAUUCCUAGCUGCGCUACCA